Molecule: unclassified non-coding RNA, 240 nt
Filed under: soil metagenome
Description: partial contains 5.8S ribosomal RNA, internal transcribed spacer 2, and large subunit ribosomal RNA
Source: RNAcentral
AACCUAGCACACCUGCGGUGUGUACCUGCGGAAGGAUCAUUACAAAAAAGACCCAAGGGGUUUUUGGGUUUCGGCCCAAGAAUACCCAACCCACCUCUUGUGCACUGUUCACGUUCGCUUUGGCAGUUGCUUUGGCUUCUCUGGAAGUCAACUUCUCGCUGGCUCUAUCCUUUUUGGACAGCUGGUGGUGAAGCGGCCUGCCAAGGCUUUUUUUCGAAAUAACGCUUUUAGAAUCUACUG